This 65-nucleotide transfer RNA is filed under the name Endecameris sp. ZJUH 20220006. Its description in RNAcentral is "tRNA-Thr". The record is from RNAcentral. Lineage: Eukaryota; Metazoa; Arthropoda; Insecta; Hymenoptera; Figitidae.
AGCUUAAUAGUUUAAAUAAAACAUUAAUUUUGUAAAUUAAAAAUAAUUUAAUAAAUUUUUAGCUA